RNAcentral lists this ribosomal RNA (1434 nucleotides) under Psychrobacter glacincola. RNAcentral describes it as "bacterial SSU rRNA". It matches the Rfam family "Bacterial small subunit ribosomal RNA". The record is from RNAcentral. Lineage: Bacteria; Pseudomonadati; Pseudomonadota; Gammaproteobacteria; Moraxellales; Moraxellaceae.
AGAUUGAACGCUGGCGGCAGGCUUAACACAUGCAAGUCGAGCGGAAACGAUGGUAGCUUGCUACCAGGCGUCGAGCGGCGGACGGGUGAGUAAUACUUAGGAAUCUACCUAGUAGUGGGGGAUAGCUCGGGGAAACUCGAAUUAAUACCGCAUACGACCUACGGGAGAAAGGGGGCAGUUUACUGCUCUCGCUAUUAGAUGAGCCUAAGUCGGAUUAGCUAGAUGGUGGGGUAAAGGCCUACCAUGGCGACGAUCUGUAGCUGGUCUGAGAGGAUGAUCAGCCACACCGGGACUGAGACACGGCCCGGACUCCUACGGGAGGCAGCAGUGGGGAAUAUUGGACAAUGGGGGAAACCCUGAUCCAGCCAUGCCGCGUGUGUGAAGAAGGCCUUUUGGUUGUAAAGCACUUUAAGCAGUGAAGAAGACUCCGUGGUUAAUACCCACGGACGAUGACAUUAGCUGCAGAAUAAGCACCGGCUAACUCUGUGCCAGCAGCCGCGGUAAUACAGAGGGUGCAAGCGUUAAUCGGAAUUACUGGGCGUAAAGGGAGCGUAGGUGGCUCGAUAAGUCAGAUGUGAAAUCCCCGGGCUCAACCUGGGAACUGCAUCUGAUACUGUUGAGCUAGAGUAUGUGAGAGGAAGGUAGAAUUCCAGGUGUAGCGGUGAAAUGCGUAGAGAUCUGGAGGAAUACCGAUGGCGAAGGCAGCCUUCUGGCAUAAUACUGACACUGAGGCUCGAAAGCGUGGGUAGCAAACAGGAUUAGAUACCCUGGUAGUCCACGCCGUAAACGAUGUCUACUAGUCGUUGGGUCCCUUGAGGACUUAGUGACGCAGCUAACGCAAUAAGUAGACCGCCUGGGGAGUACGGCCGCAAGGUUAAAACUCAAAUGAAUUGACGGGGGCCCGCACAAGCGGUGGAGCAUGUGGUUUAAUUCGAUGCAACGCGAAGAACCUUACCUGGUCUUGACAUAUCUAGAAUCCUGCAGAGAUGCGGGAGUGCCUUCGGGAAUUAGAAUACAGGUGCUGCAUGGCUGUCGUCAGCUCGUGUCGUGAGAUGUUGGGUUAAGUCCCGCAACGAGCGCAACCCUUGUCCUUAGUUACCAGCGGGUUAAGCCGGGAACUCUAAGGAUACUGCCAGUGACAAACUGGAGGAAGGCGGGGACGACGUCAAGUCAUCAUGGCCCUUACGACCAGGGCUACACACGUGCUACAAUGGUAGGUACAGAGGGCAGCUACACAGCGAUGUGAUGCGAAUCUCAAAAAGCCUAUCGUAGUCCAGAUUGGAGUCUGCAACUCGACUCCAUGAAGUAGGAAUCGCUAGUAAUCGCGGAUCAGAAUGCCGCGGUGAAUACGUUCCCGGGCCUUGUACACACCGCCCGUCACACCAUGGGAGUUGAUUGCACCAGAAGUGGAUAGCUUAACCUUCGGGGGAGCGU